GGUUGUGGCUCAAUGGUAGAGUACUUGCCUAGCAUGGUGAGGCCCUGGGUUCAAUCCCCAGCAUCA
RNAcentral lists this transfer RNA (66 nucleotides) under Marmota monax (woodchuck). RNAcentral describes it as "tRNA.Ala". The record is from RNAcentral. Lineage: Eukaryota; Metazoa; Chordata; Mammalia; Rodentia; Sciuridae.